ACCUUGCCCAUUUUUACUCCUUGACCAGAGUUGAAGUGGAUUUUCAACCAUUCAGCAUUGAGAGACUACGGUGGAACCAUUGGGAAUAACGGAUGAUGCUACACAAUUUCCAAAACACAAUCCAGCCCAGUCUGUUCCAACUAUUUAAUACUGAGUCCAGCUUAUUAUACAUCUGUAUUGCCUGUCUAAGUUUUUUAUGUACUGUUGGCUGCCCAUCCAACUACAUGUUACAGUCUAGACAAUAUGUAUUCUUCAUCCAUUUGGAUUUUCUCAUGCAAAUUUUUUAGACAAUAUGUGUUGAGUGUUAAUAUAUCUCAGUGAGGAAGCCUUAUAGUAUCUGGAUCUGAUACAAUCAGUAUAAUAUCAUCUGAAAAAAGGAAGAUCUGAAAGAUGCCACUAUCUUCAAUUACUCUGUAGAGAAGACAUUCCCUGUAACUGUGGCAAAAACUUCUGGCAAACAAAUAUCUUCCCAUUUCAAGCCUCACUUGAUACUGAGAAUCAGAAAGUUGCUGAACAAAACUAUCUCUUUACUAGCAUCUAUCAAGGAAUAUUAAAUAAACUUAAUGUAUACAUGGGGGACAUCUGGUUGGAAAGGGGCAUUUGAACCUGUUUUGCUCUACUGAAUCAAGUGGGAUUUUUUGUUAUUAUUAAGUAAAAACUAACAACAAAUAGCAGAAUUUUGUAUUAAUAAUAGCCAGUUUCUAAAAUAGUUUGAAUGCUUGACAGUUCAGCUCUAGAGAAGACUUCAUUGCCUGGUACCUUAUCUUGCCAGGUGUUCUUCAGAAUCUUCCUUUUUGUGGUAGCAAAGAAUUAGAAACUGAAGAGUUAUCCAUCAAUUUGGGAAAUGGCUAAAUGAGCUGUGGUAGAUGAUUGUAAAGGAAUACUAUUACACCAUAAGAAAUUAUGAACAAGAUAAUCACACACACACACACACACACACAAACCCAGGAUGUGAAGUGAUACAAAGUGAAAUGAGUAGAAAUAUUAUAUAUAGUAACAGCAAUAAUGAAUGAUGAUCAACUAUUAAUGACUUAAGUACUAUCAGCAACUCAAGGAUCCAAGAUCAUUCCAAGCAAUUCAUGAUUAAAAAGGUUAGCCAUUGCCAUAGAAGGGACUGAUGGAAUCUGAAUGCAAAUUGAAGCAUUUGUUUUUUCCCUUUUUUUACUUCACAAGUUUUUUUUCCCCUCAUAAAGGUAAUAUGUGUCUUUCACAACAUAAUGAAAAUGGAAAUAUGCACGACAUGAUAGCACACAUAAACUCUAUCAUAUUGCACAUCACUUCAGGGAAAGUGGAGGGGCGAGGGAGAGAGAGAAGAUGGAUGAAAAUAUCAAAAAGCGAUUAUCAAAAGUUGUAUCUACAUAUAAUUGGGGGAAAAUUAACAAAAAUAAAAUAAAGGGUUUUUGAAAACCAGAGGAUAUUAUAUUUGAUCCAGAGAGAUAGAGAGAGGGGAGGAGAGAAGAGAUAAGGCUGUGUGUUAUGUCUUGUUAGAGGGUGUGAGAUAAAGGUCACAGUUACCUCCUAGAAUUCUUUAGCUAGCACAACAAUUACUAUUUUGCAUAAAACAGAAAGGCUGAUGGGAUGAGGUUAAAUAUUUUGUUUACUGCAGUAUCUGUCAAUCUCUCUUCUGUUCUGAGGAAAUGAAGCCCUAGGAAGAUUUAAUUCAAUCAGGGAUGCAAGAUUUAAUAACUAAAAUGGAUAAGUUAGAUAACAAUUAAGCUAAGAGACCAAGGGUAGACAUCAGAAAGCAAAGUAUUGGAGUUCUGAGUAGAAUUUAGAAGAGAAACAUUUAACAGAAGAGUUCAUAGGGGAGAGUACACUUCAGCAUAGGCCUCUUGUACCUUCUGGUACAUCCUAGUUGAGAAGAGAAAGUUUCAUAGUCUGAGAAUUGCUACUUGGGGGAUAAAGAUACUGGCCAUGCUGCUGGCACUCAGACAAGAUCAGCAUCAUUGUUCCCUGCCUCUCUUUGCAUCUGUGUCAUUCAUCUCUACCUCCUUAGUCACAUAAUCAAUAGUAAAAGUCUCUGAAACUCUCUACUGCCCACACUGUAGCUUGUCUAGAUUCUGUUCCUUAGCUUUCUAGACUACUCCUUCCUGGAAUACUAAUUUAAGAGGUGCAUAAACUUCAACUCCCAUCAUACAUUCUUCAUGUUCUAGAUACUCUAGGACUAUAGUCCUAUUAUUUCUGGAAAGGGUUUGUCAAUUAAUUGCUCUAUGGAUCAAAUCAACAUUUCUGGUCCUUCCCAGAACAAAAAUCCCUUCCUAAGCCACCUUUUUAUGUUGUCAUUUCCUAUUAGAAUACAAGCUCCUUGCAGGCAGGGGCCAUCUUAGACACAAAAUCUGGCACACAGCAAGAACUCAAUAAAUGCUUUUUCAUUUAUUAAUUUUAUAAAUUAUAGAAUCAUAGACUUACACCUACAAGGAAUCAUAGAGGCCAUCUGUUCUAUGUCUUUCAUUUUACAAAUGAGGAAACUGAGGCCAAGAGCAGUUAAGUAAUUUGUUCAAGGUUAUAUAAUUAUUAAGUUGUAGGAUCAGGUUUCCCUAACUCUAAAUCCAGUCCUGUCUCUACUAUUACAUCUUGCUUUAUAAUAAGCUCUUACUUCAAACCUCAAAUUGCUACAAAUAGCUUCAUUUAUAGGCACCCAGUGGCAGAGGAAGUUAAUAAAACAUAGAAAAAUGUAGCUUUAAAGCAAUAAAAGACACAGCCAUUAAUUGUAUUUUUAUGUCAAACUGAUUUAAAAGUUUCUGAUGUGAAAAUAAAUUAUCUGUGAGUUACUACCAACUACCGACUAAAGGUAUUCUCUAGCAAA
Monodelphis domestica (gray short-tailed opossum) is the source of this 2806-nucleotide non-coding RNA. Lineage: Eukaryota; Metazoa; Chordata; Mammalia; Didelphimorphia; Didelphidae. The record is from RefSeq and is a predicted model, not a curated record.